UACGAAAACAAACGAGCCCUAAAGCUAUCUCAUGGGACGACAUCAUUCUAGAGCCAAAACAAGAAAUAACUGAAGAAAUCUCCAACAAGGCUUUGAUUGGUAAGUUGGUUUCCUCCAAACCCCUGAACAAAUACACUUUUCACUCCACGAUUUGAGUUGUUUGGAGUUUCGUAAAUGGUCUCACAAUAGAGGACCUGGCAACAAACCUUUUCCUAUUUACCUUUCCCUCUCUAGUUGAUAAACACAGAGUUUACACUCAAAGACCAUGGAAUUUUAAGGGGUUCCACAUGGUAUUGAAAGAAUGGCCACUGGGUCUUAAUAUUCAAGAAAUAGAUCUAUCUCUCUCGGCCUUUUGGAUCCAUAUUUAUGGGUUAACUUUAGAAAUGAUGACGAAAGGCAAUGUUGAAAAAAUCGGGAAAGCCCUGGGGAAUUUACUAGAAAUAGACCAAAACUUCCUUCCAAAAAAUGGGAUUAAACAAUGCCUUCGGAUCAGAGUUGAAAUAGACACGGAGAAGCCACUCUAUGAAGGUUUUAUACUGCCCCAUACCAAUAAACAACCCGCAAAAAUCAGUUUCAAAUAUGAAAGGUUAUUUGAAUUUUGUUAUGGAUGUGGGAAACUUGGGCACCUACAACAAGGUUGUCAUAUUUACAUUGGUUCCUCUGAAGAGCCAUCAUUUGGGCCCUGGAUGAGAGUGGAAUCUCAAGAUCCUAGAAGACAACCACGGCUUGAAGAAAUACAAAGAGAUAUGCAGUUUUCAAACCUUCAGGCUCUACCGUUGCUAGAUCAAAUGAGUCGCAAAUCAAUAUCACUCCCACCAGUUCGCAUCAAAGAGCCUUCUAUUCCCCUUUCACAUGGAGGUUCGAUAAUCACUGGGUUAGGAAAAAAAAAGAAAUCUUGUUGAACACUUAGGGAAAGGCAAAGUUGUCAUCAUUAAUACGGAAGCUGGGCAACAAAAAGAAUUUUGUCUAACGAAUCUCUUCUCGGCAAAGCCAAGUUGCAGUAGUGAAAGCUCUAAGGGAGACACUGUUCACAUGCAAGUCAAGAAGGAAGAACCAAUCCCAGACUCCAAGUGGCGACAAUCCAUGUAUUCAGACAAACAAGUUAGAAUAAUUUAAGGUGAGCAGCAAUUCAUUCAAUGCCAAGCAAAUGCUAUCUGUCCCCCCGACAAUGCUGCCAGCUGAGUUGCCCUCUCUCGACCACGUGCCCAAUAUGACGUUAGAGCAAUCCCCCUUGACUUAGAUAACCUCUACCAAUUCCCCACGUGCCUUGUUCCUAAUCCCAUGAAUUACACUUUCCCGAGACCUUUUAAUGAGCCCAUUGAGUCCCUAUCUGCUGAGCCCAAGACCAAACCAUAUUUCAUUAAACGACUCUUAUCCCAUCUCAAAGACCUUCAAAAUCCAUCAGACUUCCAAAAUCUGACCCAUAAUGUUUCGCUCCUUGUUAGUCCUUCGGGUAAGACAUGCUUUGCCUUUAAUACUAUACAGCUAAGCCCAACCCAUAUUAUUUCCCCAAAUCAGCAGAUAAAUCUUUCCAAAAUUGAUCUUCCUCCAUCUCUAACUCAAGCAUUUCCCGAAGUACAAAUGGCCCCUUCUAAGCUUCUUGAUACCAACCCCUUUCAACUAGAGCUGUUUCGUCCAACCAUUUCUCAAUAUGAGACUAUAAAGAAGAGAAAUAGCCUAUCAACAGAGAAGAGUCUCCCCCCAAAAAACAAUGCCUGUUGAGUACCAACUUGGGAGAUCCAUCGAUCCCAAUCCUUAAUCCAGAAGAUGAAGCAGCCCAAUAGCAAGAUGCGGAUGCACCUGUCCCAAACAACACCAAUCGAAAAUCCAGGACAGGAAGGAACCAAGGAAAGCACAAGAAGAGGAACCCAUCAGCUGUUCGAUAUGCACCUUACCAAAUCCAUAAUCUGAAAGCUAUGGUCAAAGCACAAGGAAAAAAUAUUGCAUCCCUGUGUUGGAAUGAAUCUGGUGAAACCAUAUUUGCACUCACAGAUCACAUCCCCAAUGUGAGUUCAAAUCUCGGUGAAACAAUGGCAUCUUUGAUGGCAAUAUCAAAAGCCAAACGAUUGGGGCUGAAGAAAAUUAUUUUGGAAGGCGACUCCAGCACCACAAUAACAGCAAUUAAUAACUCUGCAGAUGAAGAUGACUGGAUCACAAGCCCUAUCAUUAAGGAUAUAAAGCAUCAUCUCCUAUCUUUCGAAGUUUGGAAAGUCAGGAAAAUUCAUCGGUCUAAAAAUCGAUGUGCGCAUGAUUUGGCGCAAUGGGCAGCGGCAACACAAGCCUAUAAAACAUCAACUGCAACGCCAACACAACAGCUCCAUUUUGCACAGCCUGACUCCAUAUCACCCAGCCAAGAAAAAAAAAA
Molecule: long non-coding RNA, 2365 nt
Organism: Juglans regia (Persian walnut)
Lineage: Eukaryota; Viridiplantae; Streptophyta; Magnoliopsida; Fagales; Juglandaceae
Exons: 3
Source: RefSeq, a predicted model, not a curated record